Colletes gigas is the source of this 299-nucleotide long non-coding RNA. RefSeq lists it as uncharacterized. The transcript is spliced from 3 exons. NCBI's taxonomy places the organism in Eukaryota, Metazoa, Arthropoda, Insecta, Hymenoptera, Colletidae. The record is from RefSeq and is a predicted model, not a curated record.
AUAAACAUAACAAGACGUGUCGAGACGUAUCGGCGUUUCGCGACCGAGUCUCUUAUUGGAACUCAAAAUUAAGAAAUAAUAAGACUUGGAACCUGCCAUGAUGUGUCAGCGUUUCGCGACCAACGAGGGAGAGUAGGCGAUGAGGUUAAAGAGAAAACUAGCCUUAGAAUGAAUACACGUUUUAUUGGUUAUAAAAGAGAAAAACAAAAAUGACUGUUUGCACAUGUCUCAUGCUCGACGAUCACUAACCAACCAAAAAAAAAUCAAGAUGGCCAGAACGCCAGUAGUGCGCUCUGGCG